This 253-nucleotide ribosomal RNA is filed under the name uncultured bacterium. RNAcentral describes it as "partial 16S ribosomal RNA". It matches the Rfam family "Bacterial small subunit ribosomal RNA", at positions 524 to 776 of the family's 1533-position model. The record is from RNAcentral.
UACGUAGGGGGCUAGCGUUGUCCGGAAUCAUUGGGCGUAAAGAGCUCGUAGGCGGUCUGUCACGUCGGAUGUGAAAGCCCGGGGCUUAACCCCGGGUCUGCAUUCGAUACGGGCAGACUAGAGUGUGGUAGGGGAGAUCGGAAUUCCUGGUGUAGCGGUGAAAUGCGUAGAUAUUGGGAGGAACACCGGUGGCGAAGGCGGCCCCCUGGACCGGUACUGACGCUGAGGCGCGAAAGCGUGGGUAGCAAACGGG